AGAGUUUGAUCCUGGCUCAGAUUGAACGCUGGCGGCAUGCCUUACACAUGCAAGUCGAACGGUAACAGGUUAAGCUGACGAGUGGCGAACGGGUGAGUAAUAUAUCGGAACGUGCCCAGUCGUGGGGGAUAACGCAGCGAAAGCUGUGCUAAUACCGCAUACGAUCUAUGGAUGAAAGCGGGGGACUUGCAAGAGCCUCGCGCGAUUGGAGUGGCCGAUAUCAGAUUAGCUAGUUGGUGGGGUAAAAGCUCACCAAGGCGACGAUCUGUAGCUGGUCUGAGAGGACGACCAGCCACACUGGAACUGAGACACGGUCCAGACUCCUACGGGAGGCAGCAGUGGGGAAUUUUGGACAAUGGGCGCAAGCCUGAUCCAGCAAUGCCGCGUGCAGGAUGAANGGCCUUCGGGUUGUAAACUGCUUUUGUACGGAACGAAACGGUCUGUCCUAAUACGAUGGGCUAAUGACGGUACCGUAAGAAUAAGCACCGGCUAACUACGUGCCAGCAGCCGCGGUAAUACGUAGGGUGCGAGCGUUAAUCGGAAUUACUGGGCGUAAAGCGUGCGCAGGCGGUUAUAUAAGACAGAUGUGAAAUCCCCGNGCUCAACCUGGGACCUGCAUUUGUGACUGUAUAGCUAGAGUACGGUAGAGGGGGAUGGAAUUCCGCGUGUAGCAGUGAAAUGCGUAGAUAUGCGGAGGAACACCGAUGGCGAAGGCAAUCCCCUGGACCUGUACUGACGCUCAUGCACGAAAGCGUGGGGAGCAAACAGGAUUAGAUACCCUGGUAGUCCACGCCCUAANCGAUGUCAACUGGUUGUUGGGUCUUCACUGACUCAGUAACGAAGCUAACGCGUGAAGUUGACCGCCUGGGGAGUACGGCCGCAAGGUUG
Molecule: ribosomal RNA, 888 nt
Filed under: uncultured beta proteobacterium
Lineage: Bacteria; Pseudomonadati; Pseudomonadota; Betaproteobacteria
Description: bacterial SSU rRNA
Rfam family: Bacterial small subunit ribosomal RNA
Source: RNAcentral